Non-coding RNA from Varanus komodoensis (Komodo dragon), 654 nucleotides. Lineage: Eukaryota; Metazoa; Chordata; Lepidosauria; Squamata; Varanidae. The record is from the annotation of a RefSeq genome assembly.
UGAGCAUCGCAGCCCCCACUGUUUUCCCGCUGUCCCUGUGCAAUCAGGAGCUUUCCGAUUCCUCCCAAGUCAGCAUGGGUUGUCUGGUCACCGGCUACUUCCCUGAGCCAGUUACAGUCCAGUGGAAUUCAGGUGCCAUCUCCACCGGCAUCCAGACUUUCCCUGCUGUCUUCGACUCUUCUAACAGCCGUUAUACACUCAGCAGCCAGCUCACUGUCUCAGCCAGCAGCUGGAAAUCCGAGAAGUUCCAAUGCACGGUGGAGCAUGUAGCUUCCUCCUCCACACUCCAUCGUGAAAUCAGAUCCUGCACUGGAGAGACACUGAAGAUCAACGCCACCAUUGAAGGCGGUUAUAUCAAUAGCCCAAUCAUCAGAGAGGGGAGCACCUUUUUCUUCUACAGUAAACUGAAAGUCAAGAAGACAGACUGGAACAAAGGUGAUACCUACACCCUGACGAUUGUCCACGAAGGCUUUCCUGAGAAGUUUAUCCAAAAAAGAAUUGCAAAAUCACAGGGUAAAAAAUGAAGACCCUCCUCAUCCAGAGUUGCACCCCUUUCCUCCUUCCCCAGAAUUUUCUUUACUACUGUUAGAUCAAACCCUCUGUGACUGUACAUGCAUGUGUUGCCAAUGGCUGAAUAAAAGAGAACUUGCCCAA